AAGAACCUUACCUGGGCUUGACAUGUAGGUGGUAGGAAUUGGAAACAUGACCGACCCCUCGGGGAGGUUACACAGGUGGUGCACGGCUGUCGUCAGCUCGUGUCGUGAGAUGUUGGGUUAAGUCCCGCAACGAGCGCAACCCCUGUCCUGAUGUUGCCAUCAUUUAGUUGGGGACUCAUCGGAGACUGCCGGUGACAAACCGGAGGAAGGUGGGGAUGACGUCAAGUCAUCAUGCCCUUUAUGUCCAGGGCUACACACGUGCUACAAUGGCCGGUACAACGGGCUGCGAUACCGCGAGGUGGAGCGAAUCCCUUAAAGCCGGUCUCA
Molecule: ribosomal RNA, 327 nt
Filed under: uncultured Actinomycetes bacterium
Lineage: Bacteria; Bacillati; Actinomycetota; Actinomycetes
Description: bacterial SSU rRNA
Rfam family: Bacterial small subunit ribosomal RNA
Source: RNAcentral